GUUGCAGUCAACUAGACCCCUCCCUUAUUUCAUACUUCAAGCUGUUAAUCCACUUCUGUAAAUCUUUUUAGUUUUAACUCAAGUAUAGAAGCUUCUAAUUUUUUCUGGGUUAAAUUUUGUCUCAUUAGAUUCACUCCCUCAAUCUUUGAAUCCAGAUUCUAUCAUUCUGUAUAUUAGCUGCAAAUCAUUAAUUUAAAGCAUGCCACUAGUACUAAAUAGGGUGAUAAAGUCAGCAAACUCGGGAAAGAUCUAUAGGUAUCUCAGCAGAGAGUUCUGACUCCAAGUGAAAAAAAUUUCUUUUCCUUAUUGCAUGUGAAACCAGGAGUAUGCCCUGCCGAGCUAGUUCCCUUCCUCUCAUCUCUCAUGUGGCUUCUCAGAUUGCUUGCUUUCUAGUGCUGCUAAUAGAAGACACUAUAG
RNAcentral lists this long non-coding RNA (417 nucleotides) under Homo sapiens (human). RNAcentral's name for it is "TCEAL3 antisense RNA 1 (TCEAL3-AS1)". The record is from RNAcentral. Lineage: Eukaryota; Metazoa; Chordata; Mammalia; Primates; Hominidae.